RNAcentral lists this long non-coding RNA (358 nucleotides) under Scleropages formosus (Asian bonytongue). RNAcentral's name for it is "lncRNA (ENSSFOG00015028688.1)". The record is from RNAcentral. Lineage: Eukaryota; Metazoa; Chordata; Actinopteri; Osteoglossiformes; Osteoglossidae.
GGUGUGUGGGGGGUGUGGUUAUGUUAAAAUUCCCUCUUCCUGGAAUACCGAACACCUAUGUCACUCUUGUGGAUGAUGAUAAAUUCAUCAGUCUUUGCAACAUCGGAGCAAGAGAAAUCCCACCAUGCUCUUCAGAGGGAAAAGGAUACCCAUGCCCAUCCAAUGAAACAUUUGUGUGCAUGGCUACAGGAGCGCUACACUAUGUCAGCAUGGAAACUCGCCACAACCAGAGUCUGCGUUUGGAAAGUGAGUUUCUUUCCAUGAGGAAAGAUCUUUUAGUGAAAGCCUUCACAAUCAUGGAACCCACAUGGCCACCUGGUAAGAGAUAGUAAAUCAAUAAAAUAGUUCAUAUUUUUCA